Molecule: ribosomal RNA, 388 nt
Filed under: uncultured soil bacterium
Lineage: Bacteria
Description: bacterial SSU rRNA
Rfam family: Bacterial small subunit ribosomal RNA
Source: RNAcentral
AGAUUGAACGCUGGCGGCAGGCCUAACACAUGCAAGUCGAGCGGCAGCACGGGUACUUGUACCUGGUGGCGAGCGGCGGACGGGUGAGUAAUGCCUAGGAAUCUGCCUGGUAGUGGGGGAUAACGCUCGGAAACGGACGCUAAUACCGCAUACGUCCUACGGGAGAAAGCAGGGGACCUUCGGGCCUUGCGCUAUCAGAUGAGCCUAGGUCGGAUUAGCUAGUUGGUGAGGUAAUGGCUCACCAAGGCGACGAUCCGUAACUGGUCUGAGAGGAUGAUCAGUCACACUGGAACUGAGACACGGUCCAGACUCCGUACGGGAGCAGCAGGUGGGAAUAGUGGACAAGUGGGACAAAGCCUGACUCCAGCCAUCGCCGCGUGUGUAGAAG